AACGAACGCUGGCGGCAGGCCUAACACAUGCAAGUCGAACGGGACCUUCGGGUCUAGUGGCGGACGGGUGAGUAACGCGUGGGAACGUGCCCUUUGGUUCGGAAUAGCCUCGGGAAACUGGGAGUAAUACCGGAUACGGUCGAGAGACGAAAGAUUUAUCGCCGAAGGAUCGGCCCGCGUUGGAUUAGGUAGUUGGUGGGGUAAAGGCCUACCAAGCCGACGAUCCAUAGCUGGUUUGAGAGGAUGAUCAGCCACACUGGGACUGAGACACGGCCCAGACUCCUACGGGAGGCAGCAGUGGGGAAUAUUGGACAAUGGGCGAAAGCCUGAUCCAGCAAUGCCGCGUGAGUGAUGAAGGCCUUAGGGUUGUAAAGCUCUUUUACCCGGGAUGAUAAUGACAGUACCGGGAGAAUAAGCUCCGGCUAACUCCGUGCCAGCAGCCGCGGUAAAGUGACUACUG
Molecule: ribosomal RNA, 460 nt
Filed under: uncultured bacterium
Lineage: Bacteria
Description: bacterial SSU rRNA
Rfam family: Bacterial small subunit ribosomal RNA
Source: RNAcentral